ACAUACGACCACACCCACCGGAGAAUUCGGGAUCCCGUCCGCUCUCCCAUAGACAAGCCGGUGAGGGCCAAACUAGUAGUUGGGUCGGUGACGACCAGCGAAUCCUUGGUGUUGUAUGUC
Molecule: ribosomal RNA, 120 nt
Organism: Colletotrichum sublineola
Lineage: Eukaryota; Fungi; Ascomycota; Sordariomycetes; Glomerellales; Glomerellaceae
Source: Rfam